This 392-nucleotide ribosomal RNA is filed under the name uncultured bacterium. RNAcentral describes it as "bacterial SSU rRNA". It matches the Rfam family "Bacterial small subunit ribosomal RNA", at positions 351 to 755 of the family's 1533-position model. The record is from RNAcentral.
GCAGUGGGGAAUAUUGCACAAUGGGCGAAAGCCUGAUGCAGCGACGCCGCGUGAGGGAUGACGGCCUUCGGGUUGUAAACCUCUUUCAGCAGGGACGAAGCGCAAGUGACGGUACCUGCAGAAGAAGCACCGGCUAACUACGUGCCAGCAGCCGCGGUAAUACGUAGGGUGCAAGCGUUGUCCGGAAUUACUGGGCGUAAAGAGUUCGUAGGCGGUUUGUCGCGUCGUUUGUGAAAACCAGCAGCUCAACUGCUGGCUUGCAGGCGAUACGGGCAGACUUGAGUACUGCAGGGGAGACUGGAAUUCCUGGUGUAGCGGUGAAAUGCGCAGAUAUCAGGAGGAACACCGGUGGCGAAGGCGGUGUCUCUGGGCAGUAACUGACGCUGAGCACG